This 460-nucleotide ribosomal RNA is filed under the name uncultured bacterium. RNAcentral's name for it is "partial 16S ribosomal RNA". It matches the Rfam family "Bacterial small subunit ribosomal RNA", at positions 338 to 795 of the family's 1533-position model. The record is from RNAcentral.
CCUACGGGAGGCAGCAGUUAGGAAUAUUGGUCAAUGGGCUUAAGCCUGAACCAGCCAAGUCGCGUGAGGGAAGACUGCCCUAUGGGUUGUAAACCUCUUUUGUCAGGGAGCAACGCCGGCUACGUGUAGCCGGACUGAGAGUACCUGAAGAAAAAGCAUCUGCUAACUCCGUGCCAGCAGCCGCGGUAAUACGGAGGAUGCGAGCGUUAUCCGGAUUUAUUGGGGUUAAAGGUUGCGUAGGCGGAAUGCCAAGUCAGCGGUAAAAUCGCGGGGCUCAACCUCGCUCCGCCGUUGAAACUGGCGUUCUGGAGUGGGCGAGAAGUAUGAGGAAUGCGGGGUGUAGCGGUGAAAUGCAUAGAUAUCACGCAGAACUCCGAUUGCGAAGGCAGCAUACCGGCGCCCAACUGACGCUGAAGCACGAAAGCGUGGGUAUCGAACAGGAUUAGAUACCCCUGUAGUC